UACGGAGGAUGCGAGCGUUAUCCGGAUUUAUUGGGUUUAAAGGGUGCGUAGGCGGGCUGUUAAGUCAGCGGUAAAAGCCCGGGGCUCAACCCCGGCGAGCCGUUGAAACUGGCUGUCUUGAGAUGUCGAGAGGUAGGCGGAAUGCGUGGUGUAGCGGUGAAAUGCAUAGAUAUCACGCAGAACUCCGAUCGCGAAGGCAGCCUACCGGCGCGCUACUGACGCUCAUGCACGAAAGCGUGGGUAUCGAACAGG
Molecule: ribosomal RNA, 252 nt
Filed under: uncultured Bacteroidales bacterium
Lineage: Bacteria; Pseudomonadati; Bacteroidota; Bacteroidia; Bacteroidales
Description: partial 16S ribosomal RNA
Rfam family: Bacterial small subunit ribosomal RNA
Source: RNAcentral